GUUGGGUAGGGGAGCGUUCUGUAAGCCUGUGAAGGUGGCCUGUGAGGGUUGCUGGAGGUAUCAGAAGUGCGAAUGCUGACAUAAGUAACGAUAAAGCGGGUGAAAAGCCCGCUCGCCGGAAGACCAAGGGUUCCUGUCCAACGUUAAUCGGGGCAGGGUGAGUCGACCCCUAAGGCGAGGCCGAAAGGCGUAGUCGAUGGGAAACGGGUUAAUAUUCCCGUACUUGGUGUUACUGCGAAGGGGGGACGGAGAAGGCUAUGUUGGCCGGGCGACGGUUGUCCCGGUUUAAGCGUGUAGGUGUGUGUUCCAGGUAAAUCCGGUUCACUUUAACACUGAGGCGUGACGACGAGGCACUACGGUGCUGAAGCAACAAAUGCCCUGCUUCCAGGAAAAGCCUCUAAGCAUCAGGUAACAUCAAAUCGUACCCCAAACCGACACAGGUGGUCAGGUAGAGAAUACCAAGGCGCUUGAGAGAACUCGGGUGAAGGAACUAGGCAAAAUGGUGCCGUAACUUCGGGAGAAGGCACGCUGACACGUAGGUGAAGUGAUUUACUCAUGGAGCUGAAGUCAGUCGAAGAUACCAGCUGGCUGCAACUGUUUAUUAAAAACACAGCACUGUGCAAACACGAAAGUGGACGUAUACGGUGUGACGCCUGCCCGGUGCCGGAAGGUUAAUUGAUGGGGUCAGCGCAAGCGAAGCUCCUGAUCGAAGCCCCGGUAAACGGCGGCCGUAACUAUAACGGUCCUAAGGUAGCGAAAUUCCUUGUCGGGUAAGUUCCGACCUGCACGAAUGGCGUAAUGAUGGCCAGGCUGUCUCCACCCGAGACUCAGUGAAAUUGAACUCGCUGUGAAGAUGCAGUGUACCCGCGGCAAGACGGAAAGACCCCGUGAACCUUUACUAUAGCUUGACACUGAACAUUGAGCCUUGAUGUGUAGGAUAGGUGGGAGGCUUUGAAGUGUGGACGCCAGUCUGCAUGGAGCCGACCUUGAAAUACCACCCUUUAAUGUUUGAUGUUCUAACGUGGACCCGUAAUCCGGGUUGCGGACAGUGUCUGGUGGGUAGUUUGACUGGGGCGGUCUCCUCCUAAAGAGUAACGGAGGAGCACGAAGGUUGGCUAAUCCUGGUCGGACAUCAGGAGGUUAGUGCAAUGGCAUAAGCCAGCUUGACUGCGAGCGUGACGGCGCGAGCAGGUGCGAAAGCAGGUCAUAGUGAUCCGGUGGUUCUGAAUGGAAGGGCCAUCGCUCAACGGAUAAAAGGUACUCCGGGGAUAACAGGCUGAUACCGCCCAAGAGUUCAUAUCGACGGCGGUGUUUGGCACCUCGAUGUCGGCUCAUCACAUCCUGGGGCUGAAGUAGGUCCCAAGGGUAUGGCUGUUCGCCAUUUAAAGUGGUACGCGAGCUGGGUUUAGAACGUCGUGAGACAGUUCGGUCCCUAUCUGCCGUGGGCGCUGGAGAACUGAGGGGGGCUGCUCCUAGUACGAGAGGACCGGAGUGGACGCAUCACUGGUGUUCGGGUUGUCAUGCCAAUGGCACUGCCCGGUAGCUAAAUGCGGAAGAGAUAAGUGCUGAAAGCAUCUAAGCACGAAACUUGCCCCGAGAUGAGUUCUCCCUGAGACUUAGAGUCUCCUGAAGGAACGUUGAAGACGACGACGUUGAUAGGCCGGGUGUGUAAGCGCAGCGAUGCGUUGAGCUA
This 1693-nucleotide ribosomal RNA is filed under the name Salmonella enterica subsp. enterica serovar Senftenberg. Its description in RNAcentral is "bacterial LSU rRNA". It matches the Rfam family "Bacterial large subunit ribosomal RNA", at positions 1223 to 2893 of the family's 2925-position model. The record is from RNAcentral. Lineage: Bacteria; Pseudomonadati; Pseudomonadota; Gammaproteobacteria; Enterobacterales; Enterobacteriaceae.